AAAGAAAAAAAAUUUAAAAAAAUAAAUAAUUUCACUCUAUUUAACUUUUAGGUAUUGGUGAAUUAACCUUGGAUGAUGUUCAGAAUUCUCAGAAGAAAAGUUUGAAAAUAGUUUUGAAAUACAAUAUUAUCAGAUAGUACUACCUAAAGCACGCUGUCAGAUCCACUUUCAGAUCUCUUUCCACUCUCAAAACAACAGAUUAAAGUCCUUUAAACUGCAGAAGUAUUAGAUCACUGCCAAUUUAUCAACAAAACAAAGUAAGGAGCCUCUUGCAAACAAUCACCUCAUAAUUUUUCUUAAAUAACUGAAGAAGCAAGUUGUGAGCUCAGCUACUAUGUAUGCAAAAGGCCAAUGGGAAUGAUCCAUUCUCCAGGCCACCUCUUGUGACUAACGUCUGGUCACUGAGCCCCAAAUCGACCUAACCUGCACAAGAUCCACAGCUCCUGGGGCCAGCUGACUGGACACAUUCACAGGACAGAGUGCUGGAGGUGUGGUAAAGUAUGAUAACACUAAAAAAUUCAGGCUCUUAUAUAUGCUUGUAAUUUAUAUUUGAUUUUUAAAAUAAAUAAGAUCUGAAAUUGUCCCA
This 586-nucleotide long non-coding RNA is filed under the name Felis catus (domestic cat). RNAcentral describes it as "lncRNA (ENSFCAG00000047543.1)". Lineage: Eukaryota; Metazoa; Chordata; Mammalia; Carnivora; Felidae. The record is from RNAcentral.